AUAGGACCAGAGAUGUAGGCACAGGGCUUAGCCCUGGGAUCGCCACUAAGAAGUGUGAUCCCAUCCUCAGUGGGGGAUGCUGGAGAAGCCACUUACUUCCAGGUAGGGCUUGGCGGUGUUGCUGACAGACGGGGAGGAAAAUCGUUACUAUAUGCCAGGUAUUGUGAUAAAUGUUUUCAUAUCAUUUGUUCAUUUACAUCUCAGAAGAAACUCUUUAUGGAAGACAUAUUUUAAUCCCUAAUUUACAGAUGAAGAAAUUGUGGCUUAGAACAAGCAAGAGUUAGAAUAGCUGAGGCCCAUCUCACCUCUGCAAGUACUUGGGACUUGAUCCUUGAAGUUGUCACAGCCCCUGGGGACUAUCACCCUUUCUGCCUCCCUGCCUCUCAGGGUGUGGUCAGGAGGCAUGACAUCAGGUUUAUAAAUGGCUGUGUUCCCAAGAUAGUAGUGAACCUGUUUGCAUGUGUCAGCUGCUGUUAUUAAUAGAAAUUGUCAGCAUCACCCAGACUCUGCUUGACUGAAACCAUUAGCUGUCAGAGAUGGAAAUUUCUUCAUAAUCAAAGCCACAAAGGCUGGUUUAAGUUCAUGUCUAUAAGGGUAAUUUUCAUAAGAAGAGUGGCUGGCAAAAAAAGAAGAAGAGGAUUGUCUGGCUAGCUGCUCAGACACAGCCUCGGAAAAAGAGCAAGAUCGGGGCCUGGGCCUCAGCUCUGAAAGGGCAGAAGAACUCCGUGCUGUCAGUGAGAGCUUACUCGCUUCUUGGUGGCAUGUGUCACAGUGAAUCAUGUCAUGUUUCUUAGAACGCUCCCCUCUUGGCUCCAGCCUCAUUGACCAUACCCCCUCAGCUUCCUGGGCCAGCUCCUCUUCUCUACCUGACCUCUGGCUAUUGGUGCACUCCUGAGUUCAGUCCUCGGACCCCUCCUCUUCUGUGGCCCAUUCUCAUUCUGGGCUUUGAAGCCUAAAAAUUUAACUGCUGAGGAUUCCCAAAUGUAUGUCUCAGCCCUGAGCUACUUCCUCCAUUCUAUUCUCACAGCAUCCAGAUCCAUCCUUUUAAAGAUGAAUCAAAUUGGCUCACUCUGCUCUUUAAAACAUGUUAAUGACUUCACUUUGCAGGCAAAAUAAAACCCUCAUGCCUUGCCGUGACCCACAGAGCCCUAUGUGGACUGGCUCCUGCCUCUUAGACGUCACCUCCUCCCACCUGCCCUAUUGACUGUAUUCUAGCCAUACUGAACUCCUGCUUCUCCAGCACACCAACGCGGGGCCUUUGCACUUGCUGCCCUCACUGCAUCACGUGCUCUUCCCUUAACUCUACAUAGCUGGCUCCAUCUAAAGUAGCCCCUUCUCACUUCCUUCCCCACCUCCAGUUACUCUCUAUCACUUCACGUGUUUAUUUCCACUCUUUAUUUCAACUUGAAAUUAUUAAUAAUUCGUUUGUUUAUUUUCUGCCUCCCUUCCCCCCAACUCUGCUAAAAUCUUGAGUUUUAUAAAAUUGAGGCCUGAUCUUGUUCACUGCUGUAUUCCUAGCCCUAGAAUAUGAUUCUUAAUAUUAGUACAUUAAGUAUUUGUAGAAUGAUUGCGAGAGUAAGUGAAUGAAUGAAUGAACAAACAAAUGAGAACAAAUGGCAAACAAAUAAGCAGCGUUCCUGCUCUCAUAGUUAAGUGGACAGGUAUGAAAUGUCACGUGUGCGUGGAGACUUGUGCACUCUUCACUUCUGGAGGAGAAAAUCACAGGGUUAAUUUCAGACCUAGCGCAUUGGGUCAUCCAUGCGUAGACACGGGCAGGCUGAUAUAUAAGUCCAGAGCACGAAGCGGAGGCGACAGCUGAAGAUAAAAAAAUUGCAGUCAUCAGUUUAUAGAUGUUAAUUGAAGCUGUGAGCAUAGAUGAAAGCAGACAGAAUACCUAAUGAAAGAGGACAGAGUGAAAAGAACCAGAUCUAGGAGGACGAGCCAGCAAAGAAGGCUAAGAGAGAGCGGCUAGAGAAAUAGAAAAACCAGGGAAGUGUGGCCGCAGGAGCCAGUAGAAAAGUGUUUCCGGAAGGAGGCAGUGCUCAGGGCUCUCAAGUGCUCCUCCUCAUCCACACGUCAGCUCAGGCUGCCUUCUCAGCAAGGCCUUCCCUGAUCACCUGCUUCACGGAGCCCUCCCUUCUGGCGAUUCUCUUGUCACAUCUGUCUGUGGGGUUUUUUCUUGAGAGCAUUUAUCAUGAUCUGAGUCAGCUUGUUUAUAUGUUUAUUUAUUGGCUUAUUAUUCCCAUACCCACAGAAUAUAAGCUGCACAAAAGUAAGGACCUUACUGUGCUAUUUCCUGCUGCUUCCUCAGCCAGUUACCUCCUAGGCACCUAAUAUUAUUAAAUGAAAACAGCAGCUUCCUGAGGAGUAUAUAGUAUAUCAAUGCAUUUAGUUAAAAAACACACAUAGUAUAUAUUUACAUCGAAAAAAGUGAGGAAGAGCCCUAACCGGUUUGGCUCAGUGGAUAGAGCGUCUGCCUGCAGACUGAGGGGUCCCAGGUUUGAUUCCGGUCAAGGGCAUGUACCUUGGUUGCGGGCACAUCCCCAGUAGGGGGUGUGCAGGAGGCAGCUGAUCAAUGUUUCUCUCUCAUUGAUGUUUCUAACUAUCUCUCUCCCUUCCUCUCUGUAAAAAAAAUCAAUAAAAUAUAAAAAGAAAAAGAAAAAA
This is a long non-coding RNA of Myotis daubentonii (Daubenton's bat), 2664 nucleotides long. RefSeq lists it as uncharacterized. The transcript is spliced from 2 exons. NCBI's taxonomy places the organism in Eukaryota, Metazoa, Chordata, Mammalia, Chiroptera, Vespertilionidae. The record is from RefSeq and is a predicted model, not a curated record.